CCUACGGGAGGCAGCAGUGGGGAAUAUUGCGCAAUGGGCGAAAGCCUGACGCAGCGACGCCGCGUGAGGGAUGAAGGUCUUCGGAUCGUAAACCUCUGUCAGCAGGGAAGAACGGUCACUGGGCUAAUCAGCAGUGAAUUGACGGUACCGGCAAAGGAAGCACCGGCUACCUCCGUGCCAGCAGCCGCGGUAAUACGGAGGGUGCGAGCGUUCAUCGGAAUUACUGGGCGUAAAGCGCUCGUAGGCGGUAUGUCAAGUCAAGGGUGAAAUCCCCGCUCUCAACGUGGGAACUGCCUUUGAAACUGGCAAACUGGCGUGUGUGAGAGGCUAGUGGAAUUCCAGGUGUAGUCG
Molecule: ribosomal RNA, 351 nt
Filed under: uncultured bacterium
Lineage: Bacteria
Description: partial 16S ribosomal RNA
Rfam family: Bacterial small subunit ribosomal RNA
Source: RNAcentral